Molecule: ribosomal RNA, 468 nt
Filed under: uncultured bacterium
Lineage: Bacteria
Description: partial 16S ribosomal RNA
Rfam family: Bacterial small subunit ribosomal RNA
Source: RNAcentral
GACGAACGCUGGCGGCGUGCUUAACACAUGCAAGUCGAACGGAAAGGCCCUGCUUUUGUGGGGUGCUCGAGUGGCGAACGGGUGAGUAACACGUGAGUAACCUGCCCUUGACUGUGGGAUAACUUCAGGAAACUGGGUCUAAUACCGGAUAGGAGCUCCUGCUGCAUGGUGGGGGUUGGAAAGUUUCGGCGGUUGGGGAUGGACUCGCGGCUUAUCAGCUUGUUGGUGGGGUAGUGGCUUACCAAGGCUUUGACGGGUAGCCGGCCUGAGAGGGUGACCGGCCACACUGGGACUGGGAUGCGGCCCAGACUCCUACGGGACGCAGCAGUGGGGAAGAUUGCACAAUGGGCGGAAGCCUGAUGCAGCAAAGCCGCGUGCGGGAUGACGGCCUUCGGGUUGUAAACCGCUGUCGCCUGUGACGAAGCGUGAGUGACGGUAAUGGGUAAAGAAGCACCGGCUAACUACGUG